GCCCGGUUAGCUCAGUCGGUAGAGCAUCAGACUUUUAAUCUGAGGGUCAAGGGUUCAAGUCCCUUCUUGGGCG
RNAcentral lists this transfer RNA (73 nucleotides) under Strongylocentrotus purpuratus (purple sea urchin). RNAcentral's name for it is "tRNA-Lys (TTT) (tRNA-Lys-TTT-10-1)". It matches the Rfam family "tRNA". Rfam says of the family: Transfer RNA (tRNA) molecules are approximately 80 nucleotides in length. Their secondary structure includes four short double-helical elements and three loops (D, anti-codon, and T loops). Lineage: Eukaryota; Metazoa; Echinodermata; Echinoidea; Camarodonta; Strongylocentrotidae. The record is from Rfam by way of RNAcentral.